RNAcentral lists this unclassified non-coding RNA (337 nucleotides) under Hevea brasiliensis (rubber tree). The record is from RNAcentral. Lineage: Eukaryota; Viridiplantae; Streptophyta; Magnoliopsida; Malpighiales; Euphorbiaceae.
GUAGAUUGCUUAAUUGUUGUUUGGUUUAAGUUGUCAUGGAUGAUUAUACACUUUCAUUUUCCAUCACCAGGAAAAGUCUUCUGAUUGUGGCAAUAGUGACAACCGUAUCUGCAUUUCUGAGUUCCUUUUCUCCAAACUAUAUAUCACUGCUCAUUCUUCGUAUGCUGGUUGGAACCGGUCUGGGUGGUGGGCCUGUAUAUGGAUCUUGGUUUCUAGAAUUCGUGCCUUCUCGAAAUAGGGGCAUGUGGAUGGUUAUCUAUUCAACUUUUUGGACAGUUGGAACAAUACUUGAGGCUUUAUUGGCUAUGGUACAUCCUUUGCUUGUGUAUUUUACCUU